AUGCGACCCCCCACAUAAUAACCUCAUGACCCCCAGUUUGAGAAUCCCUGCUUAACCAUUUAUAUGUAUGCACUGUAAUGCUUCAGAAUGGGUGCUUAAUUUUAUUAGAAAGCCUAGUAAUAAGUGUUGCAUAAUACAGAAUUGGUUCCGAAAUAAGGAAAUAAUCAUUCUGUACUGCUUCUGUGUCCCUAUCCACGUACAGGGAAGAAUUCCAAAGUAAAUGAUCAAACUGCCUCUUUCUGCCAGCAGUAUAUGGAAAGACAAAGUCCUCUACUAAAGAUUUUUCUUCAUGUGGCUGUUGUGUUUAAAUCUGACAAGAAGAGUGGCACCUGGGAAAAAGCUAGGAGCAAUAUAAAACCGUUUCUAUUUUUACCUCCAAAUACUUAAGACCCUCUUGCUUCAUUGGCCUUGGUUACAAUAAUCCAAAGCAGUGUCAUCAAAAAUUUAGCUUAAGCAGCAUAAAUAUCUCCAGUUCCACUGGUCUGGCAGCAGAUUUUGGUCUUCCUUGUUUCAUUUGGAAGUUGGCUGUAGUCAGUAUUAAGGAUGAAACGAACUGUAGACUUUUAGAAAAGAUGAUAAUUUGAUAAUGACUUCAUAAGGAAACUUGAAGUUUCACUUGUCUGGUAUUAACUUUUCACCUCCUAGACUUUGUGCAGUAUGGUUGUAAGAGUGAGUGAAUCUUGCCACUUUCCUUUUAAGUUCUUUAAUGCCUUCAACUGUCCGGUCAUUCCCUUAUUAGUAAUGGGAAAACCUUUGUCACUGGUUUUGGUGGUCUAUGUAACAUAAAGAUGGUCAUCUCAUCUGCUUUCCAGGUGUCCCACCACAAAUGAAAUCCUUGUUACCAAUCUUGACAGAGACGAAGGAUAGAAUAAGUACAGGAGACUGAUCUACCUCGUUAGCUCAGGAUGGAUCCAUGGGUCUGUUCCAAUAUGGAAAUUCCACUUGCCCUUCUGACAAAUGCCAACUCAAAAUCCCCAUAAUGCACCUUGUCAAAGACCUGUGCCAUAAGUAUUGGAUCAUUUCAUAACAGGGAUGCCUUAGAAGAUUUAAUUGAUUAUUUUACCUUUGUUACCAUCACUUAGUUUAACAUUCUGGUGUAGUGGGUAGCUCCCCCUGUAUCUAUCUACCAUUUCUCUUAUUUCAAUGCAGUGUCCCUCAUGUCUCCAGCAUAGGGUGGUGAGGAUGUCGAUGAAAGCCUCUCAUCUUCUGAACUCUCUUAACAGCAAGCGUCAAUUAAUGUAAAUCAAAAUGAUAGAUUUAUUUACACACUUUUUUGUUUAUAUUUACAUGAUGCCUGAUCCACCUAAGGCCCUAAGCGCUUGUAUCAUGAAGUCAUCAUCACUUUCCUCUAGAUCUUCUGGAAAGCCCCUGUGUCUUGGAUCUCUUCAGGAUUUAUAGCGAUCUGCCACUUACUUCAUAGAGCUACCCCCUCACCCCACCGAUGCUUGAUUACUUGCAUUCAUCAGUAUAUUUGCUUUUUUAGUCUUGAUAGUUUGCACAAGUAUGUAAUUCUUCUAUUGUAGAUACCAAGUACAACCACCUAAGCCAGGACUCUGCUAUGCACUUGAAGAUCUGCUGAUGUCUCUUGGGAAAUCUAAAUAACAACAUUUCUACUAAUGGAUCAUAUUUCCCAUUUUAUUACUAUUAAGAACAUUUUUAUGAGAACAAAUUAUAGGCUGUGUUCAUCUGUAUGUCCAUCACCUUAAGUCAUAAUCAGGGAUCCUAGUUUUUUUGUGAUUUAACACCCCCCCGACCCCCCCCCAUCUGAUACAGCAUAAAAAUCCAUGUUUUUCCACAAUUAAAAUGAAAUGCUGUAUUUUAGUUUCCUUAGUCACUACAUAUAUACGCACACAAAUAUCAGUUGUAUGUGUUUUAUCGAUAUAUUUACAGUUUUAAGCAAGUUUGAAGCCUGCCAGUGCCAUCAGUCAUUAUAAUAAAAUUAAUAGAAUGAACCAGA
Long non-coding RNA from Chelonoidis abingdonii (Abingdon island giant tortoise), 1957 nucleotides. RefSeq lists it as uncharacterized. The record is from RefSeq and is a predicted model, not a curated record. NCBI's taxonomy places the organism in Eukaryota, Metazoa, Chordata, Testudines, Testudinidae.